GUCCUUGCUGUAAACUAUGUAUACUUGGUGUUAUUGGGCUCAACCCUGAUAGUACCGUAGCUAACGCGAUAAGUAUACCGCCUGGGGAGUACGCUCGCAAGGGUGAAACUCAAAAGAAUUGACGGGGACCCGCACAAGCAGUGGAGCAUGUGGUUUAAUUCGAUGCAACGCGAAGAACCUUACCUGGGCUUGACAUGCUUUUGACAGUUACAGAAAUGUAAUCUUCUCGCAAGAGACAAUUGCACAGGUGCUGCAUGGCUGUCGU
This 265-nucleotide ribosomal RNA is filed under the name uncultured bacterium. Its description in RNAcentral is "partial 16S ribosomal RNA". It matches the Rfam family "Bacterial small subunit ribosomal RNA", at positions 793 to 1055 of the family's 1533-position model. The record is from RNAcentral.